This 253-nucleotide ribosomal RNA is filed under the name uncultured bacterium. RNAcentral describes it as "partial 16S ribosomal RNA". It matches the Rfam family "Bacterial small subunit ribosomal RNA", at positions 524 to 776 of the family's 1533-position model. The record is from RNAcentral.
UACGGGGGGGGCAAGCGUUGUUCGGAAUUACUGGGCGUAAAGGGCGCGUAGGCGGCCUUCUAAGUCGAACGUGAAAUCCCUGGGCUCAACCCAGGAACUGCGUCUGAUACUGGAUGGCUUGAGUUUGGGAGAGGGAUGCGGAAUUCCAGGUGUAGCGGUGAAAUGCGUAGAUAUCUGGAGGAACACCGGUGGCGAAGGCGGCAUCCUGGACCAACACUGACACUGAUGAGCGAAAGCCAGGGGAGCAAACGGG